CCGGGUGCGUGAAAGGUGGGGAGGAGCCAUCUGGGGACGUCUGGAAACUUCCCUGGACAGACACAGCAGUGUGGGCUCUGGAUUCACUGGAGAUUUCCACCAAAGCAACACAGGAAAGGAGCUGAAGACAAACGUCCCACAGCUCUUGCUCUUCAAAAUGACCAGGCCAAUCGAAGGGGAUUCCUAGGCAACGUAUGAAGAAACUGAGGCACAGAGAGGUUAAGUGACUUGCCCAAGAUCACACAGCUGCCCAUCCUGCCUAGAAUGAAAACCACACAGGCCGAGCAGAACGAGAAUGCUGUUCAUUCAGGCUGUGUC
Molecule: long non-coding RNA, 318 nt
Organism: Diceros bicornis minor
Lineage: Eukaryota; Metazoa; Chordata; Mammalia; Perissodactyla; Rhinocerotidae
Exons: 4
Source: RefSeq, a predicted model, not a curated record